This 110-nucleotide small RNA is filed under the name Citrobacter europaeus. Its description in RNAcentral is "isrA Hfq binding RNA". It matches the Rfam family "isrA Hfq binding RNA", at positions 1 to 112 of the family's 129-position model. The record is from RNAcentral. Lineage: Bacteria; Pseudomonadati; Pseudomonadota; Gammaproteobacteria; Enterobacterales; Enterobacteriaceae.
AUCUUCACGGUUACGCCCCCCCGGUCUCAAAUCCCGCUUCUGCCAGCCAGUUGCCCUAGAGGUGCAGACGAGGACUGCGCGAGUAAUUCAUGAAUAUAUGGUUUUACCGU